This 301-nucleotide ribosomal RNA is filed under the name uncultured bacterium. RNAcentral's name for it is "partial 16S ribosomal RNA". It matches the Rfam family "Bacterial small subunit ribosomal RNA", at positions 509 to 808 of the family's 1533-position model. The record is from RNAcentral.
CAGCAGCCGCGGUAAUACGUAGGUGGCAAGCGUUGUCCGGAAUUAUUGGGCGUAAAGCGCGCGCAGGCGGAUCAGUCAGUCUGUCUUAAAAGUUCGGGGCUUAACCCCGUGAUGGGAUGGAAACUGCUGAUCUAGAGUAUCGGAGAGGAAAGUGGAAUUCCUAGUGUAGCGGUGAAAUGCGUAGAUAUUAGGAAGAACACCAGUGGCGAAGGCGACUUUCUGGACGAAAACUGACGCUGAGGCGCGAAAGCCAGGGGAGCGAACGGGAUUAGAUACCCCCGUAGUCCCUGUCUCUUAUACC